GAUGAACGCUAGCGGCAGGCCUAACACAUGCAAGUCGAGGGGUAGAUUAGCUUGCUAAUUUGAGACCGGCGCACGGGUGCGUAACGCGUAUGCAAUCUACCUUGUACAGGGGGAUAGCCCAGAGAAAUUUGGAUUAAUACCCCAUGGUAUAAUUAAUUUGCAUGAAUUGAUUAUUAAAGUUCCAACGGUACAAGAUGAGCAUGCGUCCCAUUAGCUAGUUGGUGUGGUAACGGCAUACCAAGGCGACGAUGGGUAGGGGUCCUGAGAGGGAGAUCCCCCACACUGGUACUGAGACACGGACCAGACUCCUACGGGAGGCAGCAGUGAGGAAUAUUGGUCAAUGGUCGGAAGACUGAACCAGCCAUGCCGCGUGCAGGAAGAAGCAUCUAUGGUGUGUAAACUGCUUUUGUACGGGAAGAAACACUCCUACGUGUAGGAGCUUGACGGUACCGUAAGAAUAAGGAUCGGCUAACUCCGUG
This 479-nucleotide ribosomal RNA is filed under the name uncultured bacterium. Its description in RNAcentral is "bacterial SSU rRNA". It matches the Rfam family "Bacterial small subunit ribosomal RNA", at positions 28 to 507 of the family's 1533-position model. The record is from RNAcentral.